AUGAUUUGCAUGGAAGAUAUUAAUUAACAUGCCAAGAUUAAUGUAUUAUUUUUUCCAAGGGAGACUCGGAACAAUUGGGUCUUUACCACAAGGUUAAGCCAGUGCAGAGAAUCCAAUACUUUUAGUAAUUAACACUUGUUUUUAUGCUAUUAAAAAUUCAUGGAUGCUUUGAAUCCUAAACAAAAACAUGGGAUCAGCCAUCAGGUAUCUAUGGAUUGUCUUCAAAUGACUGAUACAGACAGCAACAAAUUAAUUAAUGUCGCUGUCACCUUGAGUCGUUCAAGUGAAGUAUAUUCAAGAAUACAGCGUCAGCAGACCUGACUAAAUCUGUAUUUAUCGACAUUCUUCCAAAUAUGACAGCUAAGUUAUUAUAAAAGUAUUUUUCUAAUGACAGUUUAUGCAUAGAUAAUUGCGUAUGAAAGCGAAAAGAUACCUCAAUUAUUCUAAACUAAUGUUUCGACUCAUGGAUUAUUAUAUAUAAAUUAUUUUUGUUUUGGUCUUUGAAAAUAGAUGCACG
RNAcentral lists this unclassified non-coding RNA (517 nucleotides) under Hevea brasiliensis (rubber tree). The record is from RNAcentral. Lineage: Eukaryota; Viridiplantae; Streptophyta; Magnoliopsida; Malpighiales; Euphorbiaceae.